GUCACUCAGGAUGGAGUUCAGUGGUCCUAUCAUGGCUCAUUAUAGCCUCAAACUCCCAGGCUCAAGCAAUCCUACCAUGUCAGCCUUCCCAGUAGCUGGAACUACAGGUGGACAGUCUAGUUGCAGGAAAACAAGCUCAGAGAUCCCACUGAGUCUACAUUAUACUGGAUCUACCAUGAAAGACUUGUGAAUCCAGGAAGAGAGACUGACUGGGCAACAUGUUAUUCAGUAGGUGACCUCACAGUGACUCAAGCUACCACUUACUGUUGAUUGUGACGAAAUGCCAGCUGAGGCACAUGCCUUGGGAGCUAAGUGGUUGCUGCCCUUGACCACUGUGAAGACUGGUGUGGGAAGGGUCGUUUUGGAUGCACUUGAGCAGGGGUCCCCAACCCCUGAGCCAUGGAGCCGCAAGGAGCCACACAGCAGGAGGUGAGCGGUGUCGAGUGAGGGAGUGAGGGAAGCUUCGUCUGUAUUUACAGCCACUCCCCUUUGCUCACAUUCCCGCCUGAGCUCCACCUUCUCAGAUGAGCAGCAGCAUUAGAUGCUCAUAGGAGAACGCACCCUGUUGUGAACUGUGCAUGUGAGGGAUCUGGGUUGCGCUGUCCUUAUGAGAGUCUAAUACCUAUUGAUCUGUCACUUUCUCCCAUCACGCUCAGGUGGGAACAUCCAGUUGCAGGAAAACAAGCUUAACACGCCCACUGAUUCUACAUUAUGG
RNAcentral lists this long non-coding RNA (715 nucleotides) under Homo sapiens (human). RNAcentral describes it as "HSALNT0395490". Lineage: Eukaryota; Metazoa; Chordata; Mammalia; Primates; Hominidae. The record is from RNAcentral.